CUUUGAUUAAUCAAGGUGUGCAGAGUUGAUUCAAAAGGAAAGAUUUUUUAUUUAUUUGAAAACAAACACAAUAUCAUAAUUGGUUUUAAUUUAGAACCCCAACUAUGGUUAUCUUACCACGUAAAGGUAUUCCUAGGAGCAAGAAAGUCCAAACUGUGCAUUAAAAGUGAAUUUAAAAAACCGGUUAUAUGGUGAGAUUUGCGGAUUCUUUCGAAAUAUUUCGUUUAUUGGGUUUUUUCCAGAGCAUAAACUAUAGGGUUUCCUUUCAAAACAUUAGACAGAGAGGGGGAAACUUUAGUGUUUGGAGCAUUGUUUAUCUUAAAGGCUUGAUCUUGAUAUUCAAUGUGUGCAUUUUUAAAUCUAAGGAUCAAUGCUGGAUCUCUCAAUUAAUUUAACCCUGUAGGGUGUUAUAACCACUUCCUGAUUUCGAAGAGUGAUCAAAUUAAUUAAUAUGUACGUCUACGUAAAGUGGAGAUUAAUGGGUAUUGUUUUGUUGCAGAGAUUAAAGUUCUGACGUUAAACUAUAAUUUCUAUAUUUUUUUGUCUUCAGAAUUAUCAAAAUGCCGAGCACCUCAGAUUCGUCAAGGACGAGCAGUGAAAGCUCUGAUAUUGAUCCUGAAAGUGAUUUGGAGAAAACAGAAAAUAAACAUAUUGUCAAGAAUAUUCAUGAUCAAGAUCAUGAUCCUUCAGCAGAAGAUGAACUGAUCGCUAGGGUUCAGGAUAUGCUAGAAAGGAGCAGGAAACCAAAAAGAGGAAAAGUGUCUAAACCCUGCAAAAAGGAUAGAAGGGCUAAACUUAGAGAGGAAUUGCAGAAACUGCUAGCUAGGGAGAAGGUUCAGACUGAGGAAAUGAGCUAUCCAGUUGGUUCUACGUCUUCGGCCAGGGAUACCAGGACAGUACUGUACAUAGAUCAGGGUGACACAGAGAUAGUUGCUCCGGAUACAGUUCAUUCUUCUCCAGACACCAGGUAUGAGAAUAGGUUUGUGGGACAGGAUCGAGGCUCUGGAAAGGAAAACCUCUUUACAUCAUCAUCAUACCAACGACACCAUGACAAGGACUUCCGUUCCCAAGGGGGAUCAGCUCUUCGCUCGGAUAAAGAUCGUCGAUAUGAUCGUCAAGAUGAUCGGCAACAAGAUCGUCAACAGGAUCAUCAGCAUGAACGACCACUUGGCUUUGGAGAUCUUUGUAGAUUUUUCCAGAAGGAGCUUAAACUUGAUUUUGAUGAUAACACUGCUAAUAAGUGUGCUACAACGAUGAUUGACUGCUGGAAGAAGAACAAGUAUCUCUACUCGGACCUAGAGGAGAUGUAUCUCGUGAACAUGAGGGACACCCACGACAGGGAGCUCUUGGCCAGGGAGCUGGGGAAGACAAUCGGAGACAAUAGGGAUGGAUUUCCUCAAGGUGUUUCAUGCCCUCGUCUGGUAAACCUGACAAUUAAAUUCUUCAACACUGAACCUAGGGUAGUUGACAAGCUUAGGAGGAUUCAGGAGCAGGAACACAAGAUUGAAAGUGGAAGUAUGAAUGCCAAUGAAGAAAUAAGGAUUCGGAAGAACAGCAAGUAUGCUGGAUUACGUCCUGUCACCUCCUGUUUGGAUUCUAUCCUUGAAAGAGCUGGACUUAAUAAAACCAGGUGUAUGGUUGUAUCUGGAGAUAUCACGGAGAGGUUUGUUACUGCUGGAUACGGUUGGGAUAGAGUGCUCCAGUAUCAUUCUAAGGGCCAGGAUAAGUUUAAGAAGAAAUUGAUUCCCUUCGUUUAUAUGUCCAAAGACGAUUUCCCGAUUGGUAUGGACACAGAAGGUGUACUCAACCAACUCUAUGGUUUUAUUAACACGUGGAAACUAAAACUAUUUGACGCGCUCACUUCUGGGAAACUUCCUGAUGAGGAAAUGCCCCCUGCUGAUCUGAGAAGUGCAUUGGAGCUUGAUACAAAGAGACCACCCUCAAACCACACGUCUUCAAGCCGCUCCAAACCUGUUUUUACAAGCCAUGAUGAUGAUGUUUCCCUACCUAAAGACUACUUGAAGAAAUCAAGUUCCAAAUCCAUCUGUGAGCUUGAACGUAUCCGACCUCGACCCGGCUUUGAUGAGGAUCAUGAACCAUAUCGGCUCCGUAAGAAUGUUGCAUUAGAUGAACCUGGAUAUGUAUCAGGGUAUAGCGAAGAUGAUUAUCCGUCCCGUCUCUCCAGAAUUGACUAUGAUAGAAAAAAGACCGUCAAAGAGCAUUUGAACAAAGGAUAUCCCGGCAAAGAUUGGAGAAAGGAAGAACAGUCAGGUAAAGAGAUGUAUUCCAGUUAUGAUGAAGAUAUAAGAGACUUUGACUCCCGAGACAACAGAAAACAGUUGAGAGAUAUUGAUGCUAGGACGGAGAAGGUUCCAUGCACACAUUUCGCUGCUAGGGAGGUCAAGGAGAAGGACGGAUAUGUUUCUGUUGAGGAUUCUGACGGUAAAACAACUUUUUAUCACUAUACAGAACCAGGGGCUCGGUCAUUAAGCCAUGAUAGGAAAUCAUCGCCCAGAGGAUCAUCAGUAGAUUCUUUAGGUUUAAUUGAUAGAAAAAGAAAACUGUCUGAACAUGAUUUUGAUCUAGAAAAACAGGAAUCAUUUGAGAGACCAGUGUCAUCAAAGAAAAAAAUGAAAUCUACUGAAGGUGCUCCCGUUGAGCCACCUAAGGAGAAAGCUUCAAAAAGAAAAAAGAAAGAGAAGGAGAAGGAAAAAGAAAAGAAGAAGAAACCAUCUGUCUUGGAACAAGUUAGUGAAAUUCUAAAAUCCUGCAGUGGUCUUCAGCUGACAACUCCAAAAUCAAUAAAGGUUUCCGAUCCCAAACCUGGAAAAAAAGAGGCAAAGGAGCAUGUGAAAGAAGCUGCUGUGUGGAAACCAGAUAUAAAACAUGAAAUCAAGCUGAAUAAGGAAUUGUAUGAUGACAACGACGAUGAUGAAGAAAAUGAUGAUGAUGUAAAGAUUGAGAAAUCUCUUGAAGACGGAGAGAUUCACGGCACUGAUGCAGAAGAUACUGUUAAUGAGAUUGAUGAUGGUGUAUUUGAAGAACCAGACAAGAAUGAAAAUAAACGAAAGGUUGUUAUGGUAGACAAGGUUAUUGAAGACAAGGAUGAUGAUGAUUUAUUAAGUAAAAUACCCCGGGGGUACAGGAUUAGGUCUCUAACUAGAUCCAAGUCUAAAUCUAAAACUCCGAAAUCUAUUUCUAAAUCACCAGCACUAAAACUGCGAAAGCUAUCACGGUCUAGAACUGCAUCACCCCUGGCUAACAUCAGGCCCAAAUCAAGAUCAAAAUCAAGAUCAAGAUCAAAAUCAAGAUUUAGAUCAAGAUCAAGAACAAGAUCAUGGUCUAGAAACAGAUCAAGGUCUGUUACUCCACGAAGCCGGCGUAGUACCCGAUCCCGGAGUCCUAAAGUUAAACGGUAUCCAUACAAGCCAAGCUAUAGAGGGGAAUAUAAGUCAAACUACAACCGACAUUCUAGGUCUAGGUCUAGAUCUCCUCCUCGACACCCAACCUGGAUACCCGUCAGUCCUUGUGCUGUCACGGAAAGUAUAGAACUUGAACCCUUGAGCACAAUGCUGGUUAAGAUCUCUGCCAAGGAAGAGUUCAGAUAUAGAGAAAAUGAGGGAUGCAUGGUCCGUGUUACAAAAUGGACUGGGAGAGACUCAAUCCCUGGGAUUCAAAUUCGACCCCAGAUAGUCACUCUUGAUGACGAAUCAUCAAUGGAGAUUGAGAUUAGAAACCCAUUCGCCGAUAAAGCCUUAUUUUUACAGAGGCAGGAUAAAGUUGCGUGUCUCUCCGUUCUCUCCGGACCAGCUAAGCCUGGCUUCUUUAAUAGGGACGUUUCUCCGGAGUCAUUUGAAACCCGGGAUAAACGCUGGUUCCGUGUAUCAUCUGUAGUUCUACACCGUAAAGGUACAGAUCAUCAAUCCUGUAUCAAGAUGUGUUUUCUUUUAUUAUAUGUUGCUUAUUAUUUGAAAAUUAUCAACAUGUUCAGGAACACUUGAUCGUAUAACAAUACAUCCUGGCAGAUCUAUGAAGGUUAUUGCAACUAUAACAGGACCUAUAAAGAAAUAUGCAGGUAAAGAGAUCUUGAU
RNAcentral lists this unclassified non-coding RNA (4091 nucleotides) under Eurytemora carolleeae. RNAcentral describes it as "uncharacterized LOC111696697". The record is from RNAcentral. Lineage: Eukaryota; Metazoa; Arthropoda; Copepoda; Calanoida; Temoridae.